RNAcentral lists this small RNA (520 nucleotides) under uncultured Paraglomus. RNAcentral describes it as "bacterial SSU rRNA". It matches the Rfam family "Eukaryotic small subunit ribosomal RNA", at positions 569 to 1089 of the family's 1831-position model. Lineage: Eukaryota; Fungi; Glomeromycota; Glomeromycetes; Paraglomerales; Paraglomeraceae. The record is from RNAcentral.
AGCAGCCGCGGUAAUUCCAGCUCCAAUAGCGUAUAUUAAAGUUGUUGCAGUUAAAAAGCUCGUAGUUGAACCUUAGGCCCGUGCGGGUGGUCCGUCCUCUGGGCGAGCACUGCCUCGUCGCGGGUCUCACCUUCUGGCGAGCGUGGAUGCCAUUCACUUGGUGUCGGCGGGAACCAGGACCUUUACCUUGAAAAAAUUAGAGUGCUCAAAGCGGGCUCGUACGCUUGAAUACAUUAGCAUGGAAUAAUGAAGUAGGACGACGGUUCUAUUUUGUUGGUUUCCGGGACAGUCGUAAUGAUUAAUAGGGAUAGUUGGGGGCAUUCGUAUUCAAUUGUCAGAGGUGAAAUUCUUGGAUUUAUUGAAGACGGACUACUGCGAAAGCAUUUGCCAAGGAUGUUUUCAUUAAUCAAGAACGAAAGUUGGGGGAUCGAAGACGAUCAGAUACCGUCGUAGUCUCAACCAUAAACUAUGCCGACUGGGAAUCGGGCGAUGUUAUUUUUCGUGACUCGCUCGGCGCCCC